UACAGAGGUCUCAAGCGUUGUUCGGAUUCAUUGGGCGUAAAGGGUGCGUAGGCGGCGCGGUAAGUCGGGUGUGAAAUCUUGGAGCUUAACUCCGAAACUGCAUUCGAUACUGCCGUGCUUGAGGACUGGAGAGGAGACUGGAAUUUACGGUGUAGCGGUGAAAUGCGUAGAUAUCGUAAGGAAGACCAGAGGCGAAGGCGGCUACCUGGACAAUUGCUGACGCUCAGGCACGAAAGCGUGGGGAGCAAAAGGG
This 253-nucleotide ribosomal RNA is filed under the name uncultured bacterium. Its description in RNAcentral is "partial 16S ribosomal RNA". It matches the Rfam family "Bacterial small subunit ribosomal RNA", at positions 524 to 776 of the family's 1533-position model. The record is from RNAcentral.